This is a long non-coding RNA of Saccoglossus kowalevskii, 1220 nucleotides long. RefSeq lists it as uncharacterized. Lineage: Eukaryota; Metazoa; Hemichordata; Enteropneusta; Harrimaniidae. The record is from RefSeq and is a predicted model, not a curated record.
GAGGAAUUUGCUUACAAAUGCAUAUGAUUGGUCAGUUUGAAAACGACCCCAUCACCUCCUACAACGCAACGCAUGUCAUAUACACUUUCCUCAUCAGCGACAGCGUGUUCUUGUGCAAUCCUCUGUUAUACCGUGAACUGUUUCAAGCUUGACCGUCAUCAUGGCCAAACUAGUGCUCUUUUUUGUCCUUGUCGCUCUUGUAGCCGUAGCCUUGUGUCAAAAUGCCCAAGAUGCCGAUAAUGCUCCAAGUACUGUUGCGAUGGAAACUAAAAUGUCGAUGGCAGAUGCUGAUGGUAACAAUACAGUAGCCGAGCAAAGUGCUGGCUCCGCUGAACCAGAACCAGAAACAACUGUACAAGUGGACAGUUCAGCCAAUGGUAUCCAAGCAGCCAGUCUUGGGCUUCUGAUGUUGUCAACGCUUCUCAUCGUUAUGGUAUAAAACAUCGUUCGAGAAAGCCAGUCUUCCGUUUUAUGUAUGCUUUCAGUCACGUGAUACGCCUCUCCACCCCAUUGAACCGCUUCUCGUAUCUUGUCUUAUCCAUGAAGACAGAUUUAAGUCAUCGGAAAUGAAAUGAAAAAUCAACUUUUAUAUUCUUAAGUUUUCUUCAGUUUGUGAUAUUGAAGUGCCUUUAUUAUUUUAACAAAGCAGUCAAGGGUUGCAGCCCCAGUAAUAAGUUUACGAACUUUAACAUAUCAUUACAUUGGAUAUGUUGUUCCUUUUUAUUUUUCGAUUUACUGUGCUUGCCACAGUCUAAACAUCCUGUCGGUGAGUAAUAGUCACGACUGACUUGGUCAUUGCAAACAAACAGCAUCUAGGCUCAGACUCACACUUAAAUCCCAUGAAAAUCCAAGCUACUAUUGUUAAAUUAAUAAAGGUCACUGCGAGCAUGCGGGGUCAAUGUUGUCUAAUUUUUUAACACUUACAAUACUGUAAUCACAUUCCAACGAGUCCACAUGAUGCUUAUGACUGCAGUUGCCAUGGUGACCAUCUAUGAUUAGCUGAAUGGACAGCUGGAAUGUUUUCUGCCUGAGUCACUCUAAUUACCGCCUACUAGGAGGAGUCUUCAACUACGGAAUACCUAGUAUUCCUACAAAAUUCCGUGUAAUUGCUGGGAUGUUGUAUACGUAGUGUGCAUUGCAAGUAAACCGAAUUAGUGAUUCGGUGUCACGUGAUGUUGAAGAUUUUUAUGUUUUUGAAUAAAUUACAUUUAAAUUAAAUU